Molecule: ribosomal RNA, 478 nt
Filed under: uncultured bacterium
Lineage: Bacteria
Description: partial 16S ribosomal RNA
Rfam family: Bacterial small subunit ribosomal RNA
Source: RNAcentral
GACGAACGCUGGCGGCGUGCUUAACACAUGCAAGUCGAACGGUAAGGCCCUUCGGGGUACACGAGUGGCGAACGGGUGAGUAACACGUGGGUGAUCUGCCCUGCACUUCGGGAUAAGCCUGGGAAACUGGGUCUAAUACCGGAUAGGACCACUGCCUGCAUGGGUGGUGGUGGAAAGCUUUUGCGGUGUGGGAUGGGCCCGCGGCCUAUCAGCUUGUUGGUGGGGUGAUGGCCUACCAAGGCGACGACGGGUAGACGGCCUGAGAGGGUGACCGGCCACACUGGGACUGGGAUACGGCACAGACUCCUACGGGAGGCAGCGGUGGGGAAGAGUGCACAAUGGGCGCAAGCCUGAUGCAGCGACGCCGCGUGAGGGAUGACGGCCUUCGGGUUGUAAGCCUCUUUCAGCACCGACGAAGCGCAAGUGACGGUAGGUGCAGAAGAAGGACCGGCCAACUACGUGCCAGCCGCCGCCGUAA